AAUCUAAGCGGUGGAUCACUCGGCUCAUGGGUCGAUGAAGAACGCAGCAAACUGUGCGUCAUCGUGUGAACUGCAGGACACAUGAACAUCGACAUUUUGAACGCAUAUCGCAGUCCAUGCUGUUAUGUACUUUAAUUAAUUUUAUAGUGCUGCUUGGACUACAUAUGGUUGAGGGUUGUAAGACUAUGCUAAUUAAGUUGCUUAUAAAUUUUUAUAAGCAUAUGGUAUAUUAUUGGAUAAAUAUAAUAAUUUUUAUUCAUAAUAUUAAAAAAUAAAUGAAAAACAUUAUCUCACAUUUGAAUGUGAAAAACGAAGAGAAAUAUUUUCUUUUUCAAUCAAAUAAUACUGAGAAAUGUCUAGCAUAAAAAAUUGAAAUAUUUUUCAUCUAGAAUUGUCUCUUAUUAAUGAUUCGGAAAUAGAAAAAUCUUGGUUAUGUUAUUAUUCUUCGUUGGUUCGUUAAAAAUGGAUAAAUAAAAACUUUGCAUACAAGAAUUAAUAAAAAUGUUAUAACGAAUUUAAUUAAAUGUUUUAUCAUUAUAUAUAAAGAAUUUAUGGCAAGAUAAAGUUAUAUACAACCUCAACUCAUAUGGGACUACCCCCUGAAUUUAAGCAUAUUAAUUAGGGGAGGAAAAGAAACUAACAAGGAUUUUCUUAGUAGCGGCGAGCGAAAAGAAAACAGUUCAGCACUAAGUCACUUUGUCUAUAUGGCAAAUGUGAGAUGCAGUGUAUGGAGCGUCAAUAUUCUAGUAUGAGAAAUUAACGAUUUAAGUCCUUCUUAAAUGAGGCCAUUUACCCAUAGAGGGUGCCAGGCCCGUAUAACGUUAAUGAUUACUAGAUGAUGUUUCCAAAGAGUCGUGUUGCUUGAUAGUGCAGCACUAAGUGGGUGGUAAACUCCAUCUAAAACUAAAUAUAACCAUGAGACCGAUAGUAAACAAGUACCGUGAGGGAAAGUUGAAAAGAACUCUGAAUAGAGAGUUAAACAGUACGUGAAACUGCUUAGAGGUUAAGCCCGAUGAACCUGAAUAUCCGUUAUGGAAAAUUCAUCAUUAAAAUUGUAAUAUUUAAAUAAUAUUAUGAGAAUAGUGUGCAUUUUUUCCAUAUAAGGACAUUGUAAUCUAUUAGCAUAUACCAAAUUUAUCAUAAAAUAUAACUUAUAGUUUAUUCCAAUUAAAUUGCUUGCAUUUUAACACAGAAUAAAUGUUAUUAAUUUGAUAAAGUGCUGAUAGAUUUAUAUGAUUACAGUGCGUUAAUUUUUCGGAAUUAUAUAAUGGCAUAAUUAUCAUUGAUUUUUGUGUUUAUUAUAUGCACUUGUAUGAUUAACAAUGCGAAAGAUUCAGGAUACCUUCGGGACCCGUCUUGAAACACGGACCAAGGAGUCUAACAUAUGUGCAAGUUAUUGGGAUAUAAACCUAAUAGCGUAAUUAACUUGACUAAUAAUGGGAUUAGUUUUUUAGCUAUUUAUAGCUAAUUAACACAAUCCCGGGCGUUCUAUAUAGUUAUGUAUAAUGUAUAUUUAUAUUAUUUAUGCCUCUAACUGGAACGUACCUUGAGCAUAUAUGCUGUGACCCGAAAGAUGGUGAACUAUACUUGAUCAGGUUGAAGUCAGGGGAAACCCUGAUGGAAGACCGAAACAGUUCUGACGUGCAAAUCGAUUGUCAGAAUUGAGUAUAGGGGCGAAAGACCAAUCGAACCAUCUAGUAGCUGGUUCCUUCCGAAGUUUCCCUCAGGAUAGCUGGUGCAUUUUAAUAUUAUAUAAAAUAAUCUUAUCUGGUAAAGCGAAUGAUUAGAGGCCUUAGGGUCGAAACGAUCUUAACCUAUUCUCAAACUUUAAAUGGGUAAGAACCUUAACUUUCUUGAUAUGAAGUUCAAGGUUAUGAUAUAAUGUGCCCAGUGGGCCACUUUUGGUAAGCAGAACUGGCGCUGUGGGAUGAACCAAACGUAAUGUUACGGUGCCCAAAUUAACAACUCAUGCAGAUACCAUGAAAGGCGUUGGUUGCUUAAAACAGCAGGACGGUGAUCAUGGAAGUCGAAAUCCGCUAAGGAGUGUGUAACAACUCACCUGCCGAAGCAACUAGCCCUUAAAAUGGAUGGCGCUUAAGUUGUAUACCUAUACAUUACCGCUAAAGUAGAUGAUUUAUAUUACUUGUGAUAUAAAUUUUGAAACUUUAGUGAGUAGGAAGGUACAAUGGUAUGCGUAGAAGUGUUUGGCGUAAGCCUGCAUGGAGCUGCCAUUGGUACAGAUCUUGGUGGUAGUAGCAAAUAAUCGAAUGAGACCUUGGAGGACUGAAGUGGAGAAGGGUUUCGUGUGAACAGUGGUUGAUCACGAGUUAGUCGGUCCUAAGUUCAAGGCGAAAGCCGAAAAUUUUCAAGUAAAACAAAAAUGCCUAACUAUAUAAACAAAGCGAAUUAUAAUACACUUGAAUAAUUUUGAACGAAAGGGAAUACGGUUCCAAUUCCGUAACCUGUUGAGUAUCCGUUUGUUAUUAAAUAUGGGCCUCGUGCUCAUCCUGGCAACAGGAACGACCAUAAAGAAGCCGUCGAGAGAUAUCGGAAGAGUUUUCUUUUCUGUUUUAUAGCCGUACUACCAUGGAAGUCUUUCGCAGAGAGAUAUGGUAGAUGGGCUAGAAGAGCAUGACAUAUACUGUUGUGUCGAUAUUUUCUCCUCGGACCUUGAAAAUUUAUGGUGGGGACACGCAAACUUCUCAACAGGCCGUACCAAUAUCCGCAGCUGGUCUCCAAGGUGAAGAGUCUCUAGUCGAUAGAAUAAUGUAGGUAAGGGAAGUCGGCAAAUUAGAUCCGUAACUUCGGGAUAAGGAUUGGCUCUGAAGAUUGAGAUAGUCGGGCUUGAUUGGGAAACAAUAACAUGGUUUAUGUGCUCGUUCUGGGUAAAUAGAGUUUCUAGCAUUUAUGUUAGUUACUUGUUCCCCGGAUAGUUUAGUUACGUAGCCAAUUGUGGAACUUUCUUGCUAAAAUUUUUAAGAAUACUAUUUGGGUUAAACCAAUUAGUUCUUAUUAAUUAUAACGAUUAUCAAUUAACAAUCAAUUCAGAACUGGCACGGACUUGGGGAAUCCGACUGUCUAAUUAAAACAAAGCAUUGUGAUGGCCCUAGCGGGUGUUGACACAAUGUGAUUUCUGCCCAGUGCUCUGAAUGUCAAAGUGAAGAAAUUCAAGUAAGCGCGGGUCAACGGCGGGAGUAACUAUGACUCUCUUAAGGUAGCCAAAUGCCUCGUCAUCUAAUUAGUGACGCGCAUGAAUGGAUUAAC
RNAcentral lists this ribosomal RNA (3264 nucleotides) under Drosophila melanogaster (fruit fly). RNAcentral's name for it is "eukaryotic LSU rRNA". The stretch from base 573 to 3264 matches the Rfam family "Eukaryotic large subunit ribosomal RNA", at positions 1 to 2328 of the family's 3401-position model. The record is from RNAcentral. Lineage: Eukaryota; Metazoa; Arthropoda; Insecta; Diptera; Drosophilidae.